GGGGAAUAUUGGACAAUGGGCGAAAGCCUGAUCCAGCAAUGCCGCGUGAGUGAUGAAGGCCUUAGGGUUGUAAAGCUCUUUUACCAGGGAUGAUAAUGACAGUACCUGGAGAAUAAGCUCCGGCUAACUCCGUGCCAGCAGCCGCGGUAAUACGGAGGGAGCUAGCGUUGUUCGGAAUUACUGGGCGUAAAGCGCGCGUAGGCGGCUAUUCAAGUCAGAGGUGAAAGCCCGGGGCUCAACUCCGGAACUGCCUUUGAAACUAGAUAGCUAGAAUCUUGGAGAGGUCAGUGGAAUUCCGAGUGUAGAGGUGAAAUUCGUAGAUAUUCGGAAGAACACCAGUGGCGAAGGCGACUGACUGGACAAGUAUUGACGCUGAGGUGCGAAAGCGUGGGGAGCAAAC
This 400-nucleotide ribosomal RNA is filed under the name uncultured bacterium. RNAcentral describes it as "bacterial SSU rRNA". It matches the Rfam family "Bacterial small subunit ribosomal RNA", at positions 356 to 773 of the family's 1533-position model. The record is from RNAcentral.